This 468-nucleotide ribosomal RNA is filed under the name uncultured bacterium. RNAcentral's name for it is "partial 16S ribosomal RNA". It matches the Rfam family "Bacterial small subunit ribosomal RNA", at positions 28 to 507 of the family's 1533-position model. The record is from RNAcentral.
GACGAACGCUGGCGGCGUGCUUAACACAUGCAAGUCGAACGGAAAGGCCCUGCUUUUGUGGGGUGCUCGAGUGGCGAACGGGUGAGUAACACGUGAGUAACCUGCCCUUGACUUUGGGAUAACUUCAGGAAAUUGGGGCUAAUACCGGAUAGGAGCUCCUGCUGCAUGGUGGGGGUUGGAAAGUUUCGGCGGUUGGGGAUGGACUCGCGGCUUAUCAGCUUGUUGGUGGGGUAGUGGCUUACCAAGGCUUUGACGGGUAGCCGGCCUGAGAGGGUGACCGGCCACAUUGGGACUGAGAUACGGCCCAGCCUCCUACGGGAGGCAGCAGUGGGGAAUAUUGCACAAUGGGCGGAAGCCUGAUGCAGCAACGCCGCGUGCGGGAUGACGGCCUUCGGGUUGUAAACCGCUUUCGCCUGUGACGAAGCGUGAGUGACGGUAAUGGGUAAAGAAGCACCGGCUAACUACGUG